CACGUAGGGGGCGAGCGUUGUCCGGAUUUAUUGGGCGUAAAGAGCUCGUAGGCGGCUUAGUAAGUCGGGUGUGAAACCUCCAGGCUCAACCUGGAGACGCCACCCGAUACUGCUGUGGCUAGAGUCCGGUAGGGGAGCGUGGAAUUCCUGGUGUAGCGGUGAAAUGCGCAGAUAUCAGGAGGAACACCAGCGGCGAAGGCGGCGCUCUGGGCCGGUACUGACGCUGAGGAGCGAAAGCGUGGGGAGCAAACAGG
RNAcentral lists this ribosomal RNA (254 nucleotides) under uncultured bacterium. Its description in RNAcentral is "partial 16S ribosomal RNA". It matches the Rfam family "Bacterial small subunit ribosomal RNA", at positions 524 to 776 of the family's 1533-position model. The record is from RNAcentral.